CCUACGGGUGGCAGCAGUGGGGAAUAUUGGACAAUGGGCGAAAGCCUGAUCCAGCCAUGCCGCGUGUAUGAAGAAGGCCUUCGGGUUGUAAAGCACUUUCAGUGGGGAAGAAAGCCUUGGGGCUAAUACCCUCGAGGAAGGACAUCACCCACAGAAGAAGCACCGGCUAACUCCGUGCCAGCAGCCGCGGUAAUACGGAGGGUGCGAGCGUUAAUCGGAAUUACUGGGCGUAAAGCGCGCGUAGGCGGUCUGAUAAGCCGGUUGUAAAAGCCCCGGGCUCAACCUGGGAACGGCAUCCGGAACUGUCAGGCUAGAGUGCAGGAGAGGAAGGUAGAAUUCCCGGUGUAGCGGUGAAAUGCGUAGAGAUCGGGAGGAAUACCAGUGGCGAAGGCGGCCUUCUGGACUGACACUGACGCUGAGGUGCGAAAGCGUGGGUAGCAAACAGGAUUAGAUACCCGGGUAGUC
This 465-nucleotide ribosomal RNA is filed under the name Vreelandella stevensii. Its description in RNAcentral is "partial 16S ribosomal RNA". It matches the Rfam family "Bacterial small subunit ribosomal RNA", at positions 338 to 795 of the family's 1533-position model. Lineage: Bacteria; Pseudomonadati; Pseudomonadota; Gammaproteobacteria; Oceanospirillales; Halomonadaceae. The record is from RNAcentral.